This 495-nucleotide ribosomal RNA is filed under the name uncultured bacterium. Its description in RNAcentral is "partial 16S ribosomal RNA". It matches the Rfam family "Bacterial small subunit ribosomal RNA", at positions 28 to 506 of the family's 1533-position model. The record is from RNAcentral.
GAUGAACGCUGGCGGCGUGCCUAAUACAUGCAAGUCGAGCGAACGGACGAGAAGCUUGCUUCUCUGAUGUUAGCGGCGGACGGGUGAGUAACACGUGGAUAACCUACCUAUAAGACUGGGAUAACUUCGGGAAACCGGAGCUAAUACCGGAUAAUAUUUUGAACCGCAUGGUUCAAAAGUGAAAGACGGUCUUGCUGUCACUUAUAGAUGGAUCCGCGCUGCAUUAGCUAGUUGGUAAGGUAACGGCUUACCAAGGCAACGAUGCAUAGCCGACCUGAGAGGGUGAUCGGCCACACGGGAACAGAGACAGGGUCCAGCCUCCUACGGGGGCAGCAGUAGGGAAUCUUCCGCAAUGGGCGAAAGCCUGACGGAGCAACGCCGCGUGAGUGAUGAAGGUCUUCGGAUCGUAAAACUCUGUUAUUAGGGAAGAACAUAUGUGUAAGUAACUGUGCACAUCUGGACGGUACCUAAGCAGAAAGCCACGGCUAACUACGU